AAUAAUUCUCUAAUACUACUUCUCCUUGUGCCUUAAAUAUUUCUUUAGCUGCCUUUGUGGACAAGGGGAGUAGUUGUUUUUACAUAAAUCAAAGAUUGCUUACUGUUUCCUCUUUUAAUGCACCACUUCAGGCCACCUCUUCUCUCUCUCUCUAUGUAUUGUAUGUAUGUAUGUAGUUCUUUCCCCACCCACCACUUCAUUCUCAUCUCAUCCCUCAAAUCCCCCUCUCUCUUCUGUUUCUUCUGUUAAGCAGUGAGUUCUGUUUGUAUCCUUAACAUAUCUAUUGAUUGUUCUUUUUCUGUGUUCUGAAUGCAAAUAACUGUAAUUUUAAUUUCAACACUUAUAGAAACAGCUCAAAAUCUUUGAUCAUUUUUUCUAAAACUGUGUCUAAUACUUCUUUUUUUGCAUUUCAGGNNNNNNUUCUGUUUCUUCUGUUAAGCAGUGAGUUCUGUUUGUAUCCUUAACAUAUCUAUUGAUUGUUCUUUUUCUGUGUUCUGAAUGCAAAUAACUGUAAUUUUAAUUUCAACACUUAUAGAAACAGCUCAAAAUCUUUGAUCAUUUUUUCUAAAACUGUGUCUAAUACUUCUUUUUUUGCAUUUCAGGUUGUAUCAUAGAUCUGUUGCUUCUUCUGGCUGCAGUUUCACUGGUACAUUCUUUGGUUUUGAUCUUUUUUUAAUAUUCCUAUAUAUAUAUAUAUAUAUAUAUAUAUAUAUAUAUAUAUAUAUAUAUAUAUAUAGUUUUUUAUGAUUAAGUUAUUUGCUACAGUGAACCAAUGCUGGGGUUUUAUGUGUUGGUUAAAAUUUUAUUGGGCUUCUUUUUCUCUUUAUUUUAAGCUUUUCAGUUCUUGUGUUAUUUGUGGAUUUGUUUUUUCUGAGAUUGGGUUUUUUAACGGAGAUUUUUCUUGAGAAUUAUAAUGGGUUUCUGUUUUAAAGGUUCUACCUUUUUUUUUUGUUUUGUUGUUGGGUUUGCUGAUGUUUGAUUCCAUAUAUAAAUGGAGAAUUUUCUUGAGUUUUAAUGGGUUUCUGAUUUAAAGGUCCAUUCUUUUUGCUUUUUUGGAUUGCUGGUGUUUGAUUCUAUGUAUAAAUGGAGAUUUUCUUGAGAAUUCUAAUGGGUUUCUGCUUUAAAGGUCCAAUCUUUUUAUAUUUUUUUUUUUGGGUUUGCUGAUGUUUGUCUAUUUAUAAAUAGAAUUUUUUCUUGAGUUUUAAUGGGUUUCUCAUUUAAAGGUCCAUCCUUUUUAUUUCUUUUUUGGGUUGCUUGAUUCUAUGUAUAGAGUUCUUUCAUUAGGCCCUCUUUUGUUUUCAAGGAAUUAAGGAAGAAAGCUAUUUUAUUUGGUCUUUGAUGCUUCUGCAUACAGCUGAUUUGAACAUGGAAUGUGUUAACCUGCUUAUUGUUUUGAUUAAAAAAGCUUUUUCUCAUCUUGAUGAUAUAUUGAAGAGUUGAAAAGUUGGGAUCUUUCGUCCAUGCUCACUGGAGUUUAAGAAUCCAAAAUCAAGAAUUCUUCAUUUGUUCAAUUUUAUACCAUACUCAUUGGUAUUUGAUGACUGUGUAUCUUAUUGCAGAUAUAUCUUCUCUUUUCUCUUUUUUUUCUUCUCAUUUCUGUUCUUUCUUCUUCUCAUGCCAACUGUUUAUAUGACCAAAUUCUUCAUUUGUUUUCUUUUCUCUCUUUUUUUGUCUUAUUCCCACUACCUCGGUUGUCUAUCAAGAACUACCUCUCUUCCUUCAUAAGGUAGGGGUAAGGUCUGGAUACGCAUUACCCUCCCCAGGCCCCACGUGUGUGAUUUCACUGGGUUUUUUGUUGUUGUUGUUGUUGUUGUUGUCCCACUACCUCGGUCCAAUAUUUCUAGUGCAAUUUUCCUUUGUGGUUGUCUGGUUGAUGAUGUCUAUUUUGUCUCUAUUUAAAUAUGCCUGAGUGGUUUAAAUAAUAGUAGUUUUGUAUGUAAGUAGAACAAGUAUCAGGAUAUCUGUACAUAAUUGAUGCUAUUGCUCUUAAAGUAUACCAUAAUUGAAGGAUAAUUUUCAAAAACAUCAAUGUUAUUGGGAGGAAAUCUACUCUUAUGACCUUCAUCUCAUCGACAAGAA
RNAcentral lists this long non-coding RNA (2079 nucleotides) under Nicotiana tabacum (common tobacco). RNAcentral's name for it is "long non-coding RNA (NTAB_LNC008779)". Lineage: Eukaryota; Viridiplantae; Streptophyta; Magnoliopsida; Solanales; Solanaceae. The record is from RNAcentral.